GAAAGGAGAGCUAAUACCGGAUAUCCCCCACCGAACCGCAUGGGUUUGGUGAGGGAAAUGGAUUCCGCUUCGGGAGGGCUUCGCGGCCUAUCAGCUAGUUGGUGGGUAACGGCCCACCAAGGCAUCGACGGGUAGCUGGUCUGAGAGGACGAUCAGCCACACUGGGACUGAGACACGGCCCAGACUCCUACGGGAGGCAGCAGUGGGGAAUCUUGCGCAAUGGGCGAAAGCCUGACGCAGCAACGCCGCGUGGGGGAUGAAGGCUCUCGGGUUGUAAACCCCUUUCAGCAGGGACGAAUCAAGACGGUACCUGCAGAAGAAGCCCCGGCUAACUACGUG
Molecule: ribosomal RNA, 339 nt
Filed under: uncultured bacterium
Lineage: Bacteria
Description: bacterial SSU rRNA
Rfam family: Bacterial small subunit ribosomal RNA
Source: RNAcentral